Molecule: ribosomal RNA, 421 nt
Filed under: Bacillota bacterium
Lineage: Bacteria; Bacillati; Bacillota
Description: Firmicutes bacterium partial 16S ribosomal RNA
Rfam family: Bacterial small subunit ribosomal RNA
Source: RNAcentral
UGGGGAAUCUUGCGCAAUGGCCGCAAGGCUGACGCAGCGACGCCGCGUGGAGGAUGACGCCCUUCGGGGUGUAAACUCCUGUUGCCCGGGACGAACACACGGUUUCGACCGUGCUGACGGUACCGGGUGAGGAAGCACCGGCUAACUCCGUGCCAGCAGCCGCGGUAAUACGGAGGGUGCGAGCGUUGUCCGGAAUCACUGGGCGUAAAGGGCGCGUAGGCGGUGGGGUAAGCGUGUGGUGAAAGUCCGGGGCUCAACCCCGGAUCGGCCGUGCGAACUGCUUCACUUGAGCACUGUAGAGGCAGGUGGAAUUCCGGGUGUAGCGGUGGAAUGCGUAGAGAUCCGGAAGAACACCGGUGGCGAAGGCGGCCUGCUGGGCAGUGGCUGACGCUGAGGCGCGACAGCGUGGGGAGCAAACAGG